This 421-nucleotide ribosomal RNA is filed under the name uncultured Kribbella sp. RNAcentral describes it as "bacterial SSU rRNA". It matches the Rfam family "Bacterial small subunit ribosomal RNA", at positions 355 to 774 of the family's 1533-position model. Lineage: Bacteria; Bacillati; Actinomycetota; Actinomycetes; Propionibacteriales; Kribbellaceae. The record is from RNAcentral.
UGGGGAAUAUUGCGCAAUGGGCGAAAGCCUGACGCAGCAACGCCGCGUGAGGGAUGACGGCCUUCGGGUUGUGAAAUCCUCUUUCAAGCAGGGACGUAAGCGAGAGUGACGGUACCUGCAGAACGAAGGGACCGGGACCAAAGCCGCAUACGUGCCAGCAGCCGCGGUAAUACGUAGGGUCCGAGCGUUGUCCGGAAUUAUUGGGCGUAAAGGGCUCGUAGGCGGUUCGUCACGUCGGGAGUGAAAACUCGGAGCUUAACUCCGAGCCUGCUUCCGAUACGGGCAGACUAGAGGUAGGCAGGGGAGAGCGGAACUCCUGGUGUAGCGGUGGAAUGCGCAGAUAUCAGGAGGAACACCGGUGGCGAAGGCGGUUCUCUGGGCAUUACCUGACGCUGAGGAGCGAAAGUGUGGGGAGCGAACA